Molecule: non-coding RNA, 149 nt
Organism: Caenorhabditis elegans
Lineage: Eukaryota; Metazoa; Nematoda; Chromadorea; Rhabditida; Rhabditidae
Source: Ensembl
GAGAAACAAAAAUCGGAAGUAAUAAUAAGCGGGUUGCUUUAAAGGAGGAGAAGAGCAACAAAGUUGGUUGCCACACCAUCCACCCCAACAAUAGCUCGGCGAGCCCAUCCAACGGUGUGGUGACGAACAACAAUUAGAAGAGACAAGAA